UAUAGAGAAAGCUGAGCACCGAAGAAUUGAUGCUUUUGAACUGUGGUGUUGGAGAAGACUCUUGAGAGUUCCUUGGACUACAAGGAGAUCCAACCAGUCCAUCCUAAAGAAAAUCACUCCUAAAUGUUCAUUGGAAGGACUGAUGUUGAAGCUGAAACUCCAAUACUUUGGCCAUCUGAUGCGAAGAGCUGACUCAUUUGAAAAGACCCUGAUGCUGGGAAAGAUUGAAGAUCACUUCGGGCACGGAGGAAGAGCAUGGGCAGCUGGCCCAGGACCCACCAUAUCACCUGAGCCAAGCAGGAGAGGCCCCUGCUCACCCUUGCAAAUGCGCUUGCCUUUGUCAGAUUGUGAGUUUGGAAGGAGAAGAAGCUGGGCAGAAAUCACCGAAACCCUCUUGGGUCCGCUCUCCCGUGUUGUAAAUCUCACGGAACAGGCCAUCUGGUCCAGGUCUGCCACAGUGGGUGUCAACAGUCAAUACAGGGAAGUAGCAUGAGAAUGUGGCUGAGUUCCUCGGCCUUUCUUAGGACACAGUCAUCUUCGUUUUGCAUUUAAGGCAAGCUGAAGUGCUUAACAGCGGUGAGGUGCGGUCCAAAGCCUCUGUGUGCUUGAACUCACUGGAUCCUCUUGACAACCCCACAUGACAGUAGGUUACGGCAGCAUCGCCGGAGCUGUUUAAAAUGUAACAAACCAACAAACUCUCAGGGAGCUGAAGGAUGCCUACCCCUGCCAUGGUCCCUGCCAUGCAGCCAGGAAAGUUGUUAAAUGCCAGCCCAUCUGGUCUGCUUGGAACCCUUGGAUGGAAAGAGGACUCACCCCUCCAAACAUCUGAACUUGAUCUCUACAAACGAGAAGUCUUGGGACCAGAAAGCCCCCAGGGGGUUUGCCUGAAGAGAGCCCCCAGGUGGGGAGCCUGUAAGAAGAACCGCAUGCUUAUGUGAGCACUUGGAAGCUUCCUUGGCCAGGUCCCAUAGUUGUGCUGUCUUUGCUCAAG
Bos taurus (domestic cattle) is the source of this 991-nucleotide long non-coding RNA. Lineage: Eukaryota; Metazoa; Chordata; Mammalia; Artiodactyla; Bovidae. The record is from Ensembl.